Molecule: RNA transcript, 2453 nt
Organism: Austrofundulus limnaeus
Lineage: Eukaryota; Metazoa; Chordata; Actinopteri; Cyprinodontiformes; Rivulidae
Gene: eno4
Gene name: enolase 4
Exons: 13
Source: RefSeq, a predicted model, not a curated record
CUGCCCCCGACAGAACUCUGGAUUCCUGAGCUCCUCCCGACAUUUGAACGCGCCGUUUCCCUGGUUACAGACAACACCGGAAGUGUUUGACGACGUCUUAAAACCAAAAUGCACCCACAGAGGUUUAAGGAGCGUGACUCCUCGGAUGACAUGGACCUGGACAGUCUGAGGAGCGCAGCGGCGGACUUUUACCGGGUGAACGGACUUCCUCCGGUAAUAGAGAGGGCUCUGAACGAGCUGUUCCUCCGGCAGCCCGGAGACGUUCACGGUUACCUGGCUGAGYACUUUCUCAAACUUUCAGCUCCACCAAGAAUCAGCAGGCUGAGGAGUCGGGAGGUUUACGAUGCCAGAGGUCAACUYUCCAUUGAGGCAGAGGUCCUCUGUACUGUCUGCAACAAAGAAAAGAGCAUGUCCUCAGCUGCUGUCGCCAGCUGCUUGGUGUCUAAGGAGCCUUCGCUGGAGCAGAUGUCUGGGAGUCAGGAGAGAGCUGAUCAUGUGAAGACUGCUGCCCUGUGGAUAAAUGAACCUUUGAGUGGCCUGCUGGCAGAUCUAAACCCAUGUGACCAAUCAGAAACUGAUCAAAGACUCAGCAAUUUUUUCAGGACCCAGUUCCAGGAGGCRAAAGAUGCAGAAAACACAGAGAAGCAGGAGAGUCUUACACCCAGCAAGCAAGAAAUGGUGCCUUCUUCUCCAUCACCAAUGCAGUCUAAAGACAAGAUAAGAUCUGGUAAAAAGAACAGAGAAGCAGCAAAACCCUUUCCUCCAGCAGAACAACUGGAGCCGGUUCUAAACGGCAGCAUGGCCAUUGGUUCAGUGUCACUGGCUGUAGCCAAAGCUGGGGCACAUGUGAGAGGGAUUCCCCUUUACAAAUACAUAGCUGCUCUGAGGAACCAAAAGCUUCUGGAACCCCCAGGUGCUGGUAAUCAGGCACAAAAAAAGUUUYGCAUUCCUGUUCCCCUGGUAACUCUGCUCAGCUGUGGGAAAACRUCUCCAGGAAAACUCUGUUUAUUGGAGGAAAUCCUUCUCAUACCCAAAACKGGACAAGAAGUCAAACAAACUAUCAGCAUGACCCUCGAGUUGCAAAAGGAGAUGAUGAGAAUCACGAACGCGUCAACAAAAGCCUCGGUCACCAGCGUCUUCGUGAGUGACAGCRGUACGCCAGUUGUGAGCUACGAUCGACCCGAGCAGCCUCUAGAUCUGAUCACUGAGGCCUGCAUGAACCUUGAAAUGGCACUGGGAACAGACAUUUAUUUAGUGCUGAACUGUGUUGCCCAGAACCUCGUGGACUAUUCUAAAGGGAAAUAUGAAGUUGCAUCAGGAAGUCUAAAGUCUCCAGAUGAAUUAGUGGAUUUUUACCAAACCCUCAUCGGCAAAUACCCGGCAGUGGUGGCCCUAAUUGAUCCAUUUAGGAGGGAGGACACUGAGCAAUGGCAGAAACUCAGCGAUGUGAUGGGAAAUUCAUGUUCACUACUGUGUGACAUCAGCCAUAAGCUACAGCCUCAACAUCUGCCUGGAGUCAGAGGAUUCAUUAUUAAACAAGUCAACGAGACAACAGUCAGUGACCUAAUCCAAUUCACCUCAAAGUACCAAGGAAGGUGCUCCAGGCAUGUCUGACUGGGAGGUGACCCUGGAGAAGACCCARGRCAUGCUGGRGAGACUAUGUCUCUCUACUGGCCUGGGAACACCCUGGAAUCCUCACAGAAGGACUGAAAGAGGCGCAUAUCAGCACAGAUGCCUUGUACCAGCUUUCAGCAUGGUGGYGGAGAASUGAUGGUUUGGGUUUGUUUUGCAGUGACAGGACCUGGGCAUCUUGCAGUCACUUGAGUCAUUCAUGUACUUGCCUUCAACAACAGGCAAUWAAAAGUUCAACUUACAGUAGAUCUGUAUUCAGAAUUCAGUAACACCACUCUUCAGCAAAUUAUCUGAUCAUUCUUCUUAUUUCAUUUAAACAGACAGAAAGCUGAAAUGUGAUACUCAUUUGAUAACUGACUUCACAGUUGUAACUUAUUCAUUUAACUCCACUUUGCAUCAACAGUGUUUUUCAUCAUCCUCUGCUUUCCAGUAAAACUUUUAUUUUGGCUUUCAACACUUUUGAAGCAGAAAUUGACCUGCUUUCUUGGUUUGACACAAUCUUUAAAAAAUAGUAAACUUAACUGUAUAAGACCUGGAAAAGCCAACGAUUUUACCCAUUGUUUCAGCUGAGGGCCUGAUUAUGACAGAUACAUGCUCAUGUGUGGUUUUAUUUUUGAACCAAAAAUCUACAAUUUUAUUUGGGCCAAAAAAGUUGCCUUUUUUGUGUACUGAUAAAUACUGACACUUUCUGUGUACAUGUGUGUGUGUGUUUUAACAUACAGGUUCAGUGCUGAUGGGAACAGCAUGCAGUGAUCCCUGCACUGAUGCAUCUUUCUCAGACAUGGCUGUGGGCCUGGGCCUGCGAUAUGUCAAACUGGGAG